This 469-nucleotide ribosomal RNA is filed under the name uncultured Cellulomonas sp. RNAcentral's name for it is "bacterial SSU rRNA". It matches the Rfam family "Bacterial small subunit ribosomal RNA", at positions 910 to 1382 of the family's 1533-position model. The record is from RNAcentral. Lineage: Bacteria; Bacillati; Actinomycetota; Actinomycetes; Micrococcales; Cellulomonadaceae.
UUGACGGGGCCCGCACAAGCGGCGGAGCAUGCGAUUAAUUCGAUGCAACGCGAAGAACCUUACCAAGGCUUGACAUACACCGGUAACGCCCAGAGAUGGGUGCCCCUUUGUGGUCGGUGUACAGGUGGUGCAUGGUUGUCGUCAGCUCGUGUCGUGAGAUGUUGGGUUAAGUCCCGCAACGAGCGCAACCCUCGUCCUAUGUUGCCAGCGGGUCAUGCCGGGGACUCAUGGGAGACUGCCGGGGUCAACUCGGAGGAAGGUGGGAUGACGUCAAAUCAUCAUGCCCCUUAUGUCUUGGGCUUCACGCAUGCUACAAUGGCCGGUACAAAGGGCUGCGAUACCGCGAGGUGGAGCGAAUCCCAGAAAGCCGGUCUCAGUUCGGAUUGGGGUCUGCAACUCGACCCCAUGAAGUCGGAGUCGCUAGUAAUCGCAGAUCAGCAACGCUGCGGUGAAUACGUUCCCGGGCCUU